CCGACCGUGGGAUCAGCGGAUGUGUCGUUUAGACUCGGUGGCACUUAUGAGAANACUAAGUUUUGGGUUCGGGGGGGGGGAGGUUUGGUCGCAAGGCUGAAAAUUAAAGGAAUUGACGGAAGGACACCACCAGGAGUGGAGCCUGCGGCUUAAUUUGACUCAAAACGGGGAAACUUACCAGGUCCAGACAUAGUAAGGAUUGACAGACUGAGAGCUCUUUCUUCAUUCUAUGGGUGGUGGUGCAUGGCCGUUCUUAGUUGGUGGAGUGAUUUGUCUGGUUAAUUCCGUUAACGAAUGAGACCUCAGUCUGCUAACUAGCUACGUGGAGGCAUCUUUUGGUUUCAAACUUUCUGCUAGAUGGUAGUUUUCUCCAUGCAACUGAAACAUAUCCGGACCUAAUCCUUUUCUCACUGAUCUCUCAACUUUGCCACCAAGAGAAGUAAAUGAGAAAACCAUAUUGUAAGGUCUCAAAUUUUUUUGGAAAUGUUUGCUUAGUUUAUCAUCCCCUUCCAGCAAUCUUUUCAGCACAUCUGGAGGAUCCUUUAAUAGUGGCAAUUUUACUUGACCUUGCAUACAGCACAGAGUGGAAGUAGGAGUUCGUGCAUUCCUGCGUUUGUUAAUCCGUUCUCCGUACCACAUAAUAGUGUCACAGUGGAUACAUGAGUAUGUUGGAUCACCCUCGUCAAUAUACACUGUCAAUGUUAACAAAUUUAAUCAAUUUACUUUAAGAAAAUAGUUUAAAUAAAAAUAGUUGACCUAGGUUCAAAGUAACCAUUUCUUAUUAAUAUACAUAGAGCUUUUGAUCCCCUACUCUUUGUAAAAGAGUUCUCACAUACAGUCUCUUUGGCAAACGUUGCCUUUCUCUUGCUUCUCGGAGUCUUACAAUGUGUUUUUUCCCCAACAGAAUAAUCUACACUCUCUUCAUUAUUCUCUAAUUUGGAACUUUCUUGGGAGGAACAGUCAAACUAGUGUUCGGAUCGCAGCGACGUUGGUGGUUCGCCGUUUGCAACGUCACAAGAAGUCCACUAAACCUUAUCAUUUAGAGGAAGGAGAAGUCGUAACAAGGUUUCCGUAGGUGAACCUGCAGAAGGAUCAUUG
This 1098-nucleotide non-coding RNA is filed under the name Brassica napus (rape). RNAcentral describes it as "Eukaryotic small subunit ribosomal RNA". It matches the Rfam family "Eukaryotic small subunit ribosomal RNA", at positions 1042 to 1831 of the family's 1831-position model. Lineage: Eukaryota; Viridiplantae; Streptophyta; Magnoliopsida; Brassicales; Brassicaceae. The record is from Rfam by way of RNAcentral.